RNAcentral lists this non-coding RNA (124 nucleotides) under Chelydra serpentina (North American snapping turtle). The record is from RNAcentral. Lineage: Eukaryota; Metazoa; Chordata; Testudines; Chelydridae.
GUGAUGUAUGAAAGGAGAGAAGGUUAGCAUGCCCCUUGAUAAGGAUGGAAGAGGUCCUAGUGACCUUUACAACACGCAUAUGGUUAAGGCAUUGCCACUUACUUCAUGGCAUCUGUGACGGAGU